RNAcentral lists this transfer RNA (72 nucleotides) under Marmota monax (woodchuck). Its description in RNAcentral is "tRNA.Thr". Lineage: Eukaryota; Metazoa; Chordata; Mammalia; Rodentia; Sciuridae. The record is from RNAcentral.
GCUGGGGAUGUAGCUCAGUGGCAGAGUGCUUGCUCAGUAUGUGUGAGGCCCUGGGUUCAAUCCCCAGUAGCA